GCUUCAUUUCAAACUGCUGUGGUCUGUAGAAAAUACAUUUGUAUUAGGCAGUUGUCGAAAACUGACUGUACCAACACUCAGCUCUGGAGUUACACCCUUCUGUGCAUGUCACUGGUGAAACUGCAUAUUGCAACUUUUCUGUUGUACAAUCACUCAACUCCAUGGACAAGUGGAAUAGAGAAUGAUCUUCAUACAAGAUAACUGAUAAAAUCUUGGCUCAAGAUAUGCCUUAUGGCAAAUGUAGCUGAAUUUUCACAUGCUCCUUUUAAGAAAGAUUUCCACUUUGCCAUGAAGCUGUAUAACUGGUCAUGCAACAGGUAAAGAUGCACUAUGCACCGUUUCUCCAGUCAUAGCCACAGCAGCCUACAACUCCUUUAGCAUUGUCUGAGUGUCUUGGUGGCUUUUUCCUCUUGCUCCUUUGUAUGCUCUGUUUUUCAGAACUGUCUACUCCAGACAGAUUUACCAGAGCAGGAUACUGUUUGUUUAAUGUUUUAAGUAAAUUAAGUCCCAUACAUACUGAGGUGCUUGGUAAUGUUCAUGUUUCCAUCCCCUGACUUGUAUAAACAAAACUGGCUAGAAAAGUGAUUGGUGUUUAAAGUAAAUUGUUAAUCUGCCCAUGCAGCCAGUGGCGCUCCACUUACGGUCCCUGAAAAUGGAGGGACUAUGACAAUAAUUUCUGAAUGGUUAAUGCAAUGCUUUUGUAAAAUCCCUUGAAUUUAAGCUUAAUUCAAGGAACAUGCACAUGUUGAUUCUUACAUUUCAACUCCAUUGUCGUGUCUAGAGAGACAAUUCCAUUCAAAACCUACAGACAUGUAUGACAAAGUCCGGCCUCCUUUUUGUAAUGAACACAUCGCAAUGACGAACAGUUUUGACAGAAGAGGUAGCGAUCUGUAUUGUUUUAUUUAAUUUGUUUUCUCUUUCAUCCAAUUUGGAUAUCAGUUGGUAUGUACAAUAAGAGAAAGUGGCUAAGUCAUUUUUAGGGCAAAGCUGACUGAUAAAUAGCAAAUGCUUUGAAAAGUUGGGGGGAAAAAAGAUAAAAAAAAAAAAAAAAAUCAAAGUACUGGGGUACUCUGCAAUUUCACUUCAUUUUUCAGGGAAAUCAGUCAGUUGUUUCUUCCUAUUUAAAAGCCUUUUUUUUUUGCAACAUGGAAAUGGCAGCUACCAACAGCUGACUGUGCGGUGGUAUCGUGCACUAAUUGAGGUGAGCUUCAUAUCAGCCUGUCUGUCCAGUCCAGUCCAGUAUCUGCCACAGUUGUGCAUGGUCACAUCAGUCAGGAGAUGAUGUAAAAGCUAAUAAAGUAUUUUGUUUUUAACGGCACAGUACAUAAAUUUUCAGCUGAAGUCUGUUGGUGCACUGCCCUGAUUUGCAAAGUCUGGCUAUCAUGAAUGAUACGACUGCACAGAGACUAGAUGAGAAAUUAUUUUUCCCAUGUAGCUUCUAAAUCAGUUUAGCCUAUUUUUGAAAUUAAUUUAAAUGUCUUUGGAUUGUGUACAAAGUUCCCAUUAUGAAAUGCAUCUUGUAUUACACUGAUUUAUUGUUAUAUCUUGUUUGAUGUAACAGACUUAACAGUAUUUUAUAGUGAAAUUUUUAAAAGCAGUUCUUCAAAUGCUGUUGUAAUGAUACUGAUGAAUAUGCAGCUGGUGUUGGAAAGGAUUGUACUUUCUGAUCAAAUCUUUUGGAAAUCAUUAAACACGGGCUUUAUGCAGCCUUCAGUUUUUGAAAGCAA
Long non-coding RNA from Thalassophryne amazonica, 1727 nucleotides. RefSeq lists it as uncharacterized. The record is from RefSeq and is a predicted model, not a curated record. The transcript is spliced from 2 exons. NCBI's taxonomy places the organism in Eukaryota, Metazoa, Chordata, Actinopteri, Batrachoidiformes, Batrachoididae.